RNAcentral lists this ribosomal RNA (271 nucleotides) under uncultured prokaryote. RNAcentral describes it as "partial 16S ribosomal RNA". It matches the Rfam family "Bacterial small subunit ribosomal RNA", at positions 524 to 794 of the family's 1533-position model. The record is from RNAcentral.
CACGUAGGAGGCAAACGUUAUCCGGAUUUACUGGGCGUAAAGCGCGUGUAGGUGGUUCUGUAAGUAGGGCGUGAAAGCUCCCGGCUCAACUGGGAGAGGCCGUUCUAAACUGCAGAGCUAGAGGAUGGUAGAGGGAGGUGGAAUUCCGGGUGUAGCGGUGGAAUGCGCAGAUAUCUGGAGGAACACCAGUGGCGAAGGCGGCCUCCUGGACCAUUCCUGACACUCAGACGCGAAAGCUAGGGUAGCAAACGGGAUUAGAUACCCAUGUAGU